Non-coding RNA from Planctomycetes bacterium RBG_16_64_10, 2928 nucleotides. Lineage: Bacteria; Pseudomonadati; Planctomycetota. The record is from Rfam.
GGUCAAGCUACUAAGGGCGCAUGGGGGAUGUCUUGGCAUCAGGAGGCGAUGAAGGGCGUGGAAGACUGCGAAAAGCUCGGGGGAGUUGUCAAACAAGCGUUGAGCCCGAGAUUCCCGAAUGAACGCGUGCUGAAUCCAUAGGCGCGCGUGGCAAACGCGGUGAACUGAAACAUCUAAGUAACCGCAGGAAGAGAAAGAAACCUCGAUUUCCUUAGUAGCGGCGAGCGAACAGGAAAGACUGCCCAAACCGUGGGGGUUUUCCCCCGCGGGGUUGUAGGGCCUCUCACAGGGGAGUGACAAAAUUGCAGGCUAGCAGAACGGUUUGGAAAGGCCGACCACAGCGGGUGACAGUCCCGUACGCGACAGUCUGCAAUCUCCCGAGAGGUACCUGAGUAGGUCGGGUCACGUGGAACCCCGACUGAAUCCACGGGGACCAUCCCGUAAGGCUAAAUACUCCCUGAUGACCGAUAGUGAACUCAGUAGGGUGACUGAAAGAUGAGAAGAACCCCUGUUAGGGGAGGAACGUGAACCUGAAACCAUGUGCCUACAAGCGGUCGGAGCACUAUGGCUCUUUGAGCAAUGUGUGACGGCGUGCCUUUUGCAUAAUGAUCCGGCGAGUUACCGUUAGCGGCUUGGUUAAGGCCUUCCGGGCUGGAGCCGAAGGGAAACCGAGUCUGAAUAGGGCGCCAAUUGGUCGCUGGUGGUAGACGCGAAGCUGCGUGACCUAUCCAUGGGCAGGUUGAAGCGCGGGUUAUACCGCGUGGAGGACCGAACCCACCUGGGUUGAAAACCGGGGGGAUGACCUGUGGAGAGGAGUGAAAGUCUAAUCAAACGCAGAGAUAGCUCGUUCUCUCCGAAAUAGCUUUAGGGCUAGCCUCGAGCCACUACGCACCGGGGGUAGAGAUACUGAAUCGGUUUGGGGCCCUUCCCGGGGUACCCUGCUGAACCAAACUCCGAAUACCGGUGUGACUAUCUCGGGAGUCAGUCCGCGAGGGAUAAGCUUCGCGGUCGAGAGGGAAACAACCCAGACCGUCUGUUAAGGUCCCGAAGGCGAACUCAGUCACUAAGGAAGUUGAAUUGCUGAGACAACCAGGAUGUUGGCUUAGAAGCAGCCACCAUUUAAAAAGUGCGUAACAGCNNNNNNNNNNNNNNNNNNNNNNNNNNNNNNNNNNNNNNNNNNNNNNNNNNNNNNNNNNNNNNNNNNNNNNNNNNNNNNNNNNNNNNNNNNNNNNNNNNNNNNNNNNNNNNNNNNNNNNNNNNNNNNNNNNNNNNNNNNNNNNNNAUUAUGCCGGAAUGAGUAACGAUAAAGCAGGUGAGAAUCCUGCUCGCCGAAAGCCUAAGGUUUCCUGGGGAAGGUAAUUCCGCCCAGGGUUAGCCGGAUCCUAAGGUGAGGCCGAAAGGCGUAGCCGAUGGACAGCAGGUUAACAUUCCUGCGCUGCCGAAGUGGACCGAUGGAGGGACGGCGUUUGGAUGGUGAGCGGUACGAAUAGAAAUGUCCGUGGACCGACUCGCCGGUGUGGGAUUGGAAAAUCCGCCCACGUACAGCCGGCGACCGGGACCGACCGCGCUUACGUUCGGGAAGUCAUCUGAAGGACGUCCAAGAAAAGCUUCUAAGGUUUGAAGCUCCGGCAACCGUACUAAAACUGACACAGGUAGGCGAGACGAGAAGUCUAAGGCGCUCGGGAGAACACUGGUUAAGGAACUCUGCAAAAUGGCCCCGUAAGUUCGCGAUAAGGGGUACCGCUGGCGGUCACAAGCUGCUGGCGGUCACAGUAAAUCGGCUUCUGCGACUGUUUAUCAAAAACACAGGACUCUGCUAACUCGCAAGAGGAUGUAUAGAGUCUGACGCCUGCCCGGUGCCGGUAGGUUAAGGAAGAGGGUCAUCCUGACUUGUCAGGAGAAGCUCGCAACCGAAGCCCCGGUAAACGGCGGCCGUAACUAUGACGGUCCUAAGGUAGCGAAGUUCCUUGUCGGGUAAGUUCCGACCUGCAUGAAUGGCGUAACGACAGAAGCACUGUCUCAACCAGUGACCCGGUGAAAUUGUAGUCGUGGUGAAGAUGCCACGUACCCGCAGCUAGACGGAAAGACCCCGUGAACCUUUACUGCAGGCUGAUAUUGGGCUGUGGUCUGUCUUGUGUAGUAUAGGUGGGAGGCUGUGAAGGGAGGGCGCCAGCUCUCCUGGAGCCGCAAGGUGAAAUACCACCCUGGGCACGCUUUAGUUCUAACCCUGAUUCCCGUGAAUCCGGGCAGGGAACAGUGUCAGUUGGGCAGUUUGACUGGGGCGGUCUCCUCCCAAAGAGUAACGGAGGAGCACAAAGGUACCCUCAGCCUGGUUGGCAAUCAGGCAACGAGCGUAAAGGUAGAAGGGUGCUUGACUGCGAGACUCAUCAGUCGAGCAGGUACGAAAGUAGGUCUUAGUGAUCCGGUGGUUCCGUAUGGAAGGGCCAUCGCUCAACAGAUAAAAGGUACUCCGGGGAUAACAGGCUUAUCGCUUCCGAGCGUCCAUAGCGGCGAAGCGGUUUGGCACCUCGAUGUCGGCUCAUCACAUCCUGGGGGUGGAGAAGCUCCCAAGGGUUUGGCUGUUCGCCAAUGAAAGUGGUACGUGAGCUGGGUUCAGACCGUCGUGAGACAGGUCGGUCCCUAUCUGCUGUGGGCGUACGAAACUUGAGGAGGUUCUUCUUUAGUACGAGAGGAUUUGGAAGGACGACCCUCUGGUGUUCCAGUUGUCGCGCUCGCGGCACGGCUGGAUAGCUAAGGUCGGAACGGAUAAACGCUGAAAGCAUCUAAGCGUGAAGCCCGCUCCAAGAUUAGGUUUCGUGGCACGAAAAGUGUGAGAGUCCCCUGGAAGACAACCAGGUCGAUAGGCCGGAUGUGUAAGCACAGUAAUGUGUUCAGCUAACCGGUACUAACGGACGAAUGCUUGGCCAC